CCCUUAGAUGUCCUGGGCCGCACGCGUGCUACACUGAUGCAUACAGCGAGCACUUCCCGGCCCCGAAAGGCGGCUGGUAAUCAGCAAUAUGCAUCGUGAUGGGGAUAGUUCUUUGGAAUUCUUGAACUUGAACGAGGAAUGCCUAGUAGGCGCACGUCAUUACCGUGCGUCGAUUAAGUCCCUGCCCUUUGUACACACCGCCCGUCGCUCCUACCGAUUCGAGUGAUCCGGUGAACCCUUUGGACCGAGGCAGCUUGCUGUUUUGGAAAAUCGAGUAAACCACGUCACUUAGAGGAAGGAGAAGUCGUAACA
This 312-nucleotide ribosomal RNA is filed under the name uncultured eukaryote. RNAcentral describes it as "partial 18S ribosomal RNA". It matches the Rfam family "Eukaryotic small subunit ribosomal RNA", at positions 1470 to 1796 of the family's 1831-position model. The record is from RNAcentral.